UACGGAGGGGGCUAGCGUUGUUCGGAAUUACUGGGCGUAAAGCGCACGUAGGCGGCUUUGUAAGUUAGAGGUGAAGGCCCGGGGCUCAACUCCGGAAUUGCCUUUAAGACUGCAUCGCUUGAAUCCAGGAGAGGUGAGUGGAAUUCCGAGUGUAGAGGUGAAAUUCGUAGAUAUUCGGAAGAACACCAGUGGCGAAGGCGGCUCACCGGACUGGUAUUGACGCUGAUGUGCGAAAGCGUGGGGAGCAAACAGG
RNAcentral lists this ribosomal RNA (253 nucleotides) under uncultured bacterium. RNAcentral describes it as "partial 16S ribosomal RNA". It matches the Rfam family "Bacterial small subunit ribosomal RNA", at positions 524 to 776 of the family's 1533-position model. The record is from RNAcentral.